GCCUGAUGCAGCCAUGCCGCGUGUGUGAAGAAGGCCUUCGGGUUGUAAAGCACUUUCAGCGAGGAGGAAGGGUUCAGUGUUAAUAGCACUGUGCAUUGACGUUACUCGCAGAAGAAGCACCGGCUAACUCC
This 131-nucleotide ribosomal RNA is filed under the name uncultured Serratia sp. RNAcentral describes it as "partial 16S ribosomal RNA". It matches the Rfam family "Bacterial small subunit ribosomal RNA", at positions 381 to 504 of the family's 1533-position model. The record is from RNAcentral. Lineage: Bacteria; Pseudomonadati; Pseudomonadota; Gammaproteobacteria; Enterobacterales; Yersiniaceae.